This 466-nucleotide ribosomal RNA is filed under the name uncultured bacterium. RNAcentral describes it as "partial 16S ribosomal RNA". It matches the Rfam family "Bacterial small subunit ribosomal RNA", at positions 28 to 507 of the family's 1533-position model. The record is from RNAcentral.
GACGAACGCUGGCGGCGUGCUUAACACAUGCAAGUCGAACGGAAAGGCCCUGCUUGCAGGGUACUCGAGUGGCGAACGGGUGAGUAACACGUGGGUGAUCUGCCCUGCACUUCGGGAUAAGCCUGGGAAACUGGGUCUAAUACCGGAUAGGAGCCAUUUUUCGUGUGAUGGUUGGAAAGUUUUUUUCGGUGUAGGAUGAGCUCGCGGCCUAUCAGCUUGUUGGUGGGGUAAUGGCCUACCAAGGCGGCGACGGGUAGCCGGCCUGAGAGGGUGGACGGCCACAUUGGGACUGAGAUACGGCCCAGACUCCUACGGGAGGCAGCAGUGGGGAAUAUUGCACAAUGGGCGCAAGCCUGAUGCAGCGACGCCGCGUGGGGGAUGACGGCCUUCGGGUUGUAAACUCCUUUCGCUAGGGACGAAGCUUUUUGUGACGGUACCUAGAUAAGAAGCACCGGCUAACUACGUG